Molecule: long non-coding RNA, 908 nt
Filed under: Homo sapiens (human)
Lineage: Eukaryota; Metazoa; Chordata; Mammalia; Primates; Hominidae
Description: long non-coding RNA NONHSAT212239.1
Source: RNAcentral
CAGUACCUGGAGCCCUGGCUGCCGCUAAAGCAGCCAAAUAUGCAGCAGUGCCUGGGGUCCUUGGAGGGCUCGGGGCUCUCGGUGGAGUAGGCAUCCCAGGCGGUGUGGUGGGAGCCGGACCCGCCGCCGCCGCUGCCGCAGCCAAAGCUGCUGCCAAAGCCGCCCAGUUUGGCCUAGUGGGAGCCGCUGGGCUCGGAGGACUCGGAGUCGGAGGGCUUGGAGUUCCAGGUGUUGGGGGCCUUGGAGGUAUACCUCCAGCUGCAGCCGCUAAAGCAGCUAAAUACGGAGUGGCAGCAAGACCUGGCUUCGGAUUGUCUCCCAUUUUCCCAGGUGGGGCCUGCCUGGGGAAAGCUUGUGGCCGGAAGAGAAAAUGAGCUUCCUAGGACCCCUGACUCACGACCUCAUCAACGUUGGUGCUACUGCUUGGUGGAGAAUGUAAACCCUUUGUAACCCCAUCCCAUGCCCCUCCGACUCCCCACCCCAGGAGGGAACGGGCAGGCCGGGCGGCCUUGCAGAUCCACAGGGCAAGGAAACAAGAGGGGAGCGGCCAAGUGCCCCGACCAGGAGGCCCCCUACUUCAGAGGCAAGGGCCAUGUGGUCCUGGCCCCCCACCCCAUCCCUUCCCACCUAGGAGCUCCCCCUCCACACAGCCUCCAUCUCCAGGGGAACUUGGUGCUACACGCUGGUGCUCUUAUCUUCCUGGGGGGAGGGAGGAGGGAAGGGUGGCCCCUCGGGGAACCCCCUACCUGGGGCUCCUCUAAAGAUGGUGCAGACACUUCCUGGGCAGUCCCAGCUCCCCCUGCCCACCAGGACCCACCGUUGGCUGCCAUCCAGUUGGUACCCAAGCACCUGAAGCCUCAAAGCUGGAUUCGCUCUAGCAUCCCUCCUCUCCUGGGUCCACUUGGCCG